AUCGAACCCAGUGCCUCAUAUGUGCAAGGAACUCUCAGCCUGGGGGAGACAGAUAUGUAUUGAAGUAUGGACCGAAUUGAGUGGGCCAUCUGCUUGAACAAAUCCUCUGCCAAGACAAAGCCAAGUAUUAGAUUCAGUGGUUGCCUCUGUCACAGACUUCCUGAAGGCAGAAAUGGAGGGAUGCAGAGAUGAAAGCCCGGGAGAAGAAGGCUGCCAUGGAUCCCAACUGCUGUGAAAGGAGGAGAAAUGCAGGGAGCAGCAUCAGAUUUCUCAGGAAAGAGCCCAGCUGAUUUCCGCAGUGGCAGAGAAGAGACGAUAGCCAUCUCACAUGCAGCCUGGCUCCCUGGGCUGUCCUCCUGGAUUCUGAGUCCUCAAUGCUCUGUCAACGCCCGCCUGAGCAGAGCUUCCACCCCCUCUCUGGUCCCAAGGGUCUGGGCUACUGUCGAUGGCUCUGGGAUCUAUUUUGUUUCAGAGCUCAUUUGUUGGAAGAGGAGGAAUGAGGUAGAAACGGAAGAGUGUGUCUUAGUACGUUGCACUUAGAUUUUCCUCCACUCAGUUGAGGGUGGGAAGAAAGUGUUGGGGUGGGGGAGAACCGGAAGCGGGUGUGGGUGAUUCUUGGA
Marmota flaviventris (yellow-bellied marmot) is the source of this 620-nucleotide non-coding RNA. Lineage: Eukaryota; Metazoa; Chordata; Mammalia; Rodentia; Sciuridae. The record is from RefSeq and is a predicted model, not a curated record.